This is a small nucleolar RNA of Dioscorea cayenensis subsp. rotundata (Guinea yam), 166 nucleotides long. RefSeq annotates it as small nucleolar RNA snoR145. The record is from RefSeq and is a predicted model, not a curated record. NCBI's taxonomy places the organism in Eukaryota, Viridiplantae, Streptophyta, Magnoliopsida, Dioscoreales, Dioscoreaceae. The transcript has a single exon.
UGGCGAAGGUCCCAGCAGAGAGGGUUUUUUGAUCUCCAGCGCGUUGAGACCUCUCUAACACUUUUAAUGGUUUUUCUCCUUCGCAUAUGGAUUUUUGCCGAUUCGUACAACGCCGGAGAGGUUUCUCUCAUGUUUUCUCGGCGUUUCAAAAUUCGGCUAUAUUUCC